This 1372-nucleotide ribosomal RNA is filed under the name uncultured bacterium. Its description in RNAcentral is "bacterial SSU rRNA". It matches the Rfam family "Bacterial small subunit ribosomal RNA", at positions 28 to 1381 of the family's 1533-position model. The record is from RNAcentral.
GAUGAACGCUGGCGGCGUGCCUAAUACAUGCAAGUCGAGCGAACGGACGAGAAGCUUGCUUCUCUGAUGUUAGCGGCGGACGGGUGAGUAACACGUGGAUAACCUACCUAUAAGACUGGGAUAACUUCGGGAAACCGUAGCUAAUACCGGAUAAUAUUUUGAACCGCAUGGUUCAAAAGUGAAAGACGGUCUUGCUGUCACUUAUAGAUGGAUCCGCGCUGCAUUAGCUAGUUGGUAAGGUAACGGCUUACCAAGGCAACGAUGCAUAGCCGACCUGAGAGGGUGAUCGGCCACACUGGAACUGAGACGCGGUCCAGACUCCUACGGGAGGCAGCAGUAGGGAAUCUUCCGCAAUGGGCGAAAGCCUGACGGAGCAACGCCGCGUGAGUGAUGAAGGUCUUCGGAUCGUAAAACUCUGUUAUUAGGGAAGAACAUAUGUGUAAGUAACUGUGCACAUCUUGACGGUACCUAAUCAGAAAGCCACGGCUAACUACGUGCCAGCAGCCGCGGUAAUACGUAGGUGGCAAGCGUUAUCCGGAAUUAUUGGGCGUAAAGCGCGCGUAGGCGGUUUUUUAAGUCUGAUGUGAAAGCCCACGGCUCAACCGUGGAGGGUCAUUGGAAACUGGAAAACUUGAGUGCAGAAGAGGAAAGUGGAAUUCCAUGUGUAGCGGUGAAAUGCGCAGAGAUAUGGAGGAACACCAGUGGCGAAGGCGACUUUCUGGUCUGUAACUGACGCUGAUGUGCGAAAGCGUGGGGAUCAAACAGGAUUAGAUACCCUGGUAGUCCACGCCGUAAACGAUGAGUGCUAAGUGUUAGGGGGUUUCCGCCCCUUAGUGCUGCAGCUAACGCAUUAAGCACUCCGCCUGGGGAGUACGACCGCAAGGUUGAAACUCAAAGGAAUUGACGGGGACCCGCACAAGCGGUGGAGCAUGUGGUUUAAUUCGAAGCAACGCGAAGAACCUUACCAAAUCUUGACAUCCUUUGACAACUCUAGAGAUAGAGCCUUCCCCUUCGGGGGACAAAGUGACAGGUGGUGCAUGGUUGUCGUCAGCUCGUGUCGUGAGAUGUUGGGUUAAGUCCCGCAACGAGCGCAACCCUUAAGCUUAGUUGCCAUCAUUAAGUUGGGCACUCUAAGUUGACUGCCGGUGACAAACCGGAGGAAGGUGGGGAUGACGUCAAAUCAUCAUGCCCCUUAUGAUUUGGGCUACACACGUGCUACAAUGGACAAUACAAAGGGCAGCGAAACCGCGAGGUCAAGCAAAUCCCAUAAAGUUGUUCUCAGUUCGGAUUGUAGUCUGCAACUCGACUACAUGAAGCUGGAAUCGCUAGUAAUCGUAGAUCAGCAUGCUACGGUGAAUACGUUCCCGGGUCU